UUCGAGCGAGAAAGGGCUUCGGCCCCAGUAAAGCGGCGCACGGGUGAGUAACACGUAGGUGAUCUCCCCUAGAGUGGUGGAUAACCCUCCGAAAGGAGGGCUAAUACAGCAUGAGACCACGAUCCCGCUGGGAUUGCGGUCAAAGCAGGCCUCUUCAUGAAAGCUUGCGCUCUGGGAUGAGCCUGCGGCCCAUCAGCUAGUUGGUAAGGUAACGGCUUACCAAGGCUAAGACGGGUAGCUGGUCUGUGAGGAUGAGCAGCCACACUGGAACUGAAACACGGUCCAGACUCCUACGGGAGGCAGCAGUAGGGAAUCUUGCGCAAUGGGCGAAAGCCUGACGCAGCGACGCCGCGUGAGCGAUGAAGGCCUUCGGGUUGUAAAGCUCUGUGGGGAGAGACGAAUAAGGCAUGGCUAACAUCCAUGUCGAUGACGGUAUCUCCUUAGCAAGCACCGGCUAACUCUGUGCCAGCAGCCGCGGUAAGACAGAGGGUGCGAACGUUGUUCGGAAUUACUGGGCGUAAAGCGCGUGUAGGCGGCAACGCAAGUCGGGCGUGAAAUCCCACGGCUCAACCGUGGAAGUGCACUCGAAACUGCGUAGCUAGAGUCCUGGAGAGGAAGGUGGAAUGCUUGGUGUAGAGGUGAAAUUCGUAGAUAUCAAGCGGAACACCGGUGGCGAAGGCGGCCUUCUGGACAGUGACUGACGCUGAGACGCGAAAGCGUGGGGAGCAAACAGGAUUAGAUACCCUGGUAGUCCACGCCGUAAACGAUGAGUGCUAGGUGUCACGGGCUUUUGACCCCUCGUGGUGCCGAAGCUAACGCGUUAAGCA
Molecule: ribosomal RNA, 827 nt
Filed under: uncultured delta proteobacterium
Lineage: Bacteria; Deltaproteobacteria
Description: bacterial SSU rRNA
Rfam family: Bacterial small subunit ribosomal RNA
Source: RNAcentral